This 2889-nucleotide long non-coding RNA is filed under the name Nicotiana tabacum (common tobacco). RNAcentral's name for it is "long non-coding RNA (NTAB_LNC010662)". Lineage: Eukaryota; Viridiplantae; Streptophyta; Magnoliopsida; Solanales; Solanaceae. The record is from RNAcentral.
AAGAUUUUCCAGAAAUCUUUCCCUUUUUCAACAAAAGAUCUCUUUUCCCAAAAUUUCUCCCUCCCAGGUGAAUUGCCAUUUUUUUUAACUUUCUCUUUCCUUCUUUAAGAUCUUGCUCUCUUUCUCAAUACACAGAGAGUGCACCUCAAUUUUUUUUAAAACUCUUGCCUGCCACCAUUACUGACGACCUCGGGUCCUCAGAGCGGCUCUUUUAGCCGUUCAAAUUUCAAAUCUCACAAGAUGAACCCUACUUCUUCACCUAUAAAUACUACCGCAAAACUCCAGCCUCACCAAGCGGGGAAUGAUCAGAAAAAUCCCUACAAAAUUCAGUUUAUAUCAUACUCAGUUUAUUCUUUUAAUCUCAAGCUUUACAAUCUGUGGAAAACUCCUCAAUAUUUAGUCUUCAUUAUUACAUUCUCCAUGACUAAGGAGUGGUAGAUCUGACCUUUAAAGCUCCUAGUUCACUGCCCUGUGGAAGGUAAUACUUCAGCCCCUUCCUAAUCUUCUUUAUGCUUAUUUAGAAAUUCAUGUCAUAUGUCUGUUCAUCUUGUCCAAGAAACCGAAAAUAAAAUUUGCUACAGUUGAGUAGUUUCAUAUGAAGAAAAGCAAUCUAUUAGUCCCCCAUCUUCUUUGUGUAUGAAUCUGUCUUCGAGUAAUACAACGACUAUCAUGUAAAAAAUUAUAGUCGUUGCCAUUAGUCAGAUAUAGAAAAACAUGCUUUAGGUGUUUCUUACUGUUUUUAUUUGGAAAAAUAUUUGGUGCUUAGAAAUUUUUGCUCCUAAAUAUUUUUAACUCUUUUCAAAGCCCAUGUGAUUGUAGCAUUUAAGAAAAUCUUAUAUGGUUUGGAGGAUAUCUAUCAGGAGGUCUCAUUUUGAAAUUUAUAUUCCGGUAGGGGGGGGGACNNNNNNNNNNNNNNNNNNNNNNNNNUAGAUCUGACCCUUUAAGCUCCCUAGUUCACUGCCCUGUGGAAGGUAAUACUUCAGCCCCUUCCUAAUCUUCUUUAUGCUUAUUUAGAAAUUCAUGUCAUAUGUCUGUUCAUCUUGUCCAAGAAACCGAAAAUAAAAUUUGCUACAGUUGAGUAGUUUCAUAUGAAGAAAAGCAAUCUAUUAGUCCCCCAUCUUCUUUGUGUAUGAAUCUGUCUUCGAGUAAUACAACGACUAUCAUGUAAAAAAUUAUAGUCGUUGCCAUUAGUCAGAUAUAGAAAACAUGCUUUAGGUGUUUCUUACUGUUUUUAUUUGGAAAAUAUUUGUGCUUAGAAAUUUUGCUCCUAAAUAUUUUUAACUCUUUCAAGCCCAUGUGAUUGUAGCAUUUAAGAAAUCUUAUAUGUUUGAGAUAUCUAUCAGAGUCUCAUUUAGAAAUUAUAUUCGUAGGGGACUAAAUCUCAUGCUUUAUGUAAUAUUUUUAUUGUUAUUCACUUUGUGAGAAUUAGGUUACAGUAAUCAUUUGUCUUAUUUAAUACAUAAUGUUUGUGAAGCUAAGUCAAAGUUCUAUCAAGCUUGAACUUCUUCAAUGGAACCAUUUCUGAUGCUUUUGUAAAUCAAUGAUUAAUACGAAGUUUUAAAUAAAGUUGUGAUUCCCGUUUUAUUUGACUAGAUAUAAAUAGUAGUGAUACCUAGAUGCAUUUCUUAAUUCCUUUACAUGUGAACAUUGUUUCUAAUUUUGUAUUGUAAAUGUGCCAUGUGAACAUCUUUUGCGGUUUAUUUUUGAACCUUCGUUGAUAUUAAGAACGCAUCUCUUCUCUAAUCCUUUCUUUCUUUCACUUUCUUUGUUUUGCAUGACACACUGGAGCGCUCUUGAGUCUGAGUCUUGCUUUAAAACUCGAUGCCGCUGCCGACGAAGAACCCGCAUCCAUAUCUUAGUUCGUGUCGCUCUCUCUUUCAGUCCAUCCGAACAGAAAAAGAAAAGAGAGGCGGGGAAAAAUUAUGAGCAAUCUUUACAAUUCCCUUUUUUUAUUUAUUUAUGACUACUACGUUCUGCUCUUUGGUACAUAUUUUGGACUUGAAUUAUGUGCUAUUUGGUUUGACCCUUGGUUCAGACAAUUAGGGUAGCAUUCAAUUAACUUAAAACUCGUUUGAUGUUUCUGUCUUCUUUAGUUAGGGUACUAAUUAGAUAAGAAGAUGAAUCUAAAAAAUGUUAUCAUUUAAUAAAGGCAAACUUUUCAUUUAAUUAAAUAGCAAAUACCGUAUGGCUUUUCAUAACAGUCACGGAUUACCUCCCAUUAAUUUGGUGUAUUCAUUUAAUGAGAGAAAUUUCGAUUUUUUGAAAAGUCUGUUUUUUUAACACAUCACCUUAGCCUUAAUUAACCUAAGUUUGGCUAAUUAACCGUAGUUAACGGAUCAUAUAGGUGCCUUCAUAACCUUCCCUAUAGGAUUAAUUAGAACCCUUACCUUAGAAUCUCUAAUGUUUAGUAGAUAAUAUAGUUUGGUGGGGACUUUUUAGUUAAUAAUUAAUUCUGGAAUCACCAAUAUGUUCCACUCUAUUUGACCUAUGUUAAAAUGGGGUAUAACAAGUGGUAAAGUCCUUAACGGCAGUGAGUAGGGGCUUAUUAAGAGUCCAAUUAUAGGUGAUGAGAGAAGUAAAUUGGGGGUGGGUGGUCCACAUCGUUUCAAAACGAAAUAUUUUGUCCUGAAUAGCUUUGUGUUUUUUUAGAUUAAGUAAUAACGGGCUAUGAUCAGAGCGCGCUCGAUGGAGAUGAUGAACUGAGGAUUCAGAGAAAAUGGUUAACCAUUCAGAAUUUGCUAAACAUCUAUCUAACCUUUCCAAGAUACGAUGGGAGAUAUUUCUAUUAUUGGACCAAGUAUAUUUACCCCCGGUGUAGCCUAAGUCAAUUAAUUUACAUUGGUUAAGACAAGCCAGGAAGUUAUCACUCCUCCUAUUAUUUAUAUGAAU